AGGGACGGGACGGGGCGCAGUGUUGUUCUAAGGCCGCCAAUAUUGCACUCGUCCCGGCCUCC
RNAcentral lists this microRNA precursor (62 nucleotides) under Ornithorhynchus anatinus (platypus). RNAcentral describes it as "Oan-Mir-92-P1d_pre stem-loop". Lineage: Eukaryota; Metazoa; Chordata; Mammalia; Monotremata; Ornithorhynchidae. The record is from RNAcentral.